Molecule: ribosomal RNA, 468 nt
Filed under: uncultured bacterium
Lineage: Bacteria
Description: partial 16S ribosomal RNA
Rfam family: Bacterial small subunit ribosomal RNA
Source: RNAcentral
GACGAACGCUGGCGGCGUGCUUAACACAUGCAAGUCGAACGGAAAGGCCCUGCUUUUGUGGGGUGCUCGAGUGGCGAACGGGUGAGUAACACGUGAGUAACCUGCCCUUGACUUUGGGAUAACUUCAGGAAACUGGGGCUAAUACCGGAUAGGAGCUCCUGCUGCAUGGUGGGGGUUGGAAAGUUUCGGCGGUUGGGGAUGGACUCGCGGCUUAUCCGCUUGUUGGUGGGGUAGUGGCUUACCAAGGCUUUGACGGGUAGCCGGCCUGAGAGGGUGACCGGCCACAUGGGGACUGAGAUACGACCCAGACUCCUACGGGAGGCAGCGGUGGGGAUUAUAGCACAAUGGGCGGAGGCCUGAUGCAGCAACGCCGGGUGCGGGAUGACGGCCUUCGGGUUGUAAACUGCUUUCGACUGUGACGAAGCGUGAGUGACGGUAAUGGGUAAAGAAGCACCGGCUAACUACGUG